This 349-nucleotide ribosomal RNA is filed under the name unidentified. RNAcentral's name for it is "bacterial SSU rRNA". It matches the Rfam family "Bacterial small subunit ribosomal RNA", at positions 583 to 927 of the family's 1533-position model. The record is from RNAcentral.
UCAAGUGCUUUGUGAAAUCCCACGGNUCAACCGUGGAACAGCAGGGNAUACUGAUGGACUUGAGGCAAGUAGGGGNUGACGGNNCAGUAGGUGGUGCGGUGAAAUGCGUAGAUAUCUACUGGAACGCCGAUGGUGAAGACGGUCAGCUGGGCUUGUCCUGACACUGAGGCACGAAAGCGUGGGGAGCAAACAGGAUUAGAUACCCUGGUAGUCCACGCUGUAAACGAUGCGCACUUGACCGGUGCGGUUUUGGACGCCGUAUCGGUCGUAGUAAAAACGCAUCAAGUGCGCCGCCUGGGGAGUACGGUCGCAAGUAUUAUACUCAANGGAAUUGACGGGAGCUCACACA